GGGCGUUGGAUCAGCGACGGCAGCGGGAGCGACGGUCGUACCUUGCGCGCGGGAAGCACGCGAAGUUCCAGCAGAACCCGACGUGUCAGGAUAGGCGACGAGGGGAAGCUCCGCGACAAUGUCGUUACAGAUAAUCCGGUUGAGGCGGCGGUGGACGUCGAUCAACACGGCGUUAAGGCGCUGAGUCUCGGCCACGGCGACACUGUUGGGGACACCAGUAGGCGACAGCAGGCACAGGGCCCAGGUAGCGUGUUGAGCCUGCACUUCGCGGCCAUACUCCUCAAGGAUGUCUCGAGCACUCAUAGCGGAAAAGAGAGGGGAUGUGGAAAAUAAGGCUCUCAGGCAGCCUAUUUAUAGAGAAGCGAAGAAGGAGGGGCCCGAGAACCAAGGAGCUUUAAUGAGAGUUGGUGGGGGUCGAAAGGGGGGUGGACGGCCCCAGGCCCCCGGGCCCGCUAAGGAAGGGGGGAGUACUGUUGGUACCAUGGACCGCGGACCGCGGCCCAUGGACCGAACCGGACCAGACGGCCCAGACGGAC
RNAcentral lists this long non-coding RNA (536 nucleotides) under Zostera marina. RNAcentral describes it as "long non-coding RNA (ZMAR_LNC002020)". The record is from RNAcentral. Lineage: Eukaryota; Viridiplantae; Streptophyta; Magnoliopsida; Alismatales; Zosteraceae.